GAUGAACGCUAGCUACAGGCUUAACACAUGCAAGUCGAGGGGCAGCGGGAUUGAAGCUUGCUUCAAUUGCCGGCGACCGGCGCACGGGUGAGUAACGCGUAUCCAACCUUCCGUACACUCAGGGAUAGCCUUUCGAAAGAAAGAUUAAUACCUGAUGGUAUGAUGAGAUUGCAUGAUAUCAUCAUUAAAGAUUUAUCGGUGUACGAUGGGGAUGCGUUCCAUUAGGUAGUAGGCGGGGUAACGGCCCACCUAGCCAAUGAUGGAUAGGGGUUCUGAGAGGAAGGUCCCCCACAUUGGAACUGAGACACGGUCCAAACUCCUACGGGAGGCAGCAGUGAGGAAUAUUGGUCAAUGGACGAGAGUCUGAACCAGCCAAGUAGCGUGAAGGAUGAAGGUCCUACGGAUUGUAAACUUCUUUUAUAAGGGAAUAAACCCUCCCACGUGUGGGAGCUUGUAUGUACCUUAUGAAUAAGCAUCGGCUAACUCCGUG
This 490-nucleotide ribosomal RNA is filed under the name uncultured bacterium. Its description in RNAcentral is "partial 16S ribosomal RNA". It matches the Rfam family "Bacterial small subunit ribosomal RNA", at positions 28 to 507 of the family's 1533-position model. The record is from RNAcentral.